CAGAGUAGAAAUUCGCGCGUAUAAGUGUUUCGCGGACGGGGAGUUGCCGCGGAAACGAAAGGGGAGACCCUGCGAUGCGGAUUUCGCAUCCCGCUGU
RNAcentral lists this non-coding RNA (97 nucleotides) under uncultured Ruminococcus sp. RNAcentral describes it as "THF riboswitch". It matches the Rfam family "THF (Tetrahydrofolate) riboswitch aptamer". Rfam says of the family: THF riboswitch presents a pseudoknot that joins P1-P2 and the loop of P3 and two THF binding. The record is from RNAcentral. Lineage: Bacteria; Bacillati; Bacillota; Clostridia; Eubacteriales; Oscillospiraceae.